GUCAAUUCCAGAAGGAAAGGUAAUAAGAACCAGGAUGACUGUCAGAUAAAUGGGGAGCAGAGUUGGUGCCAUGACGCAUCCUUGCUUGACACAAUUUUGCAUGACAAAUGGAUCUGUCUCCAACCUGCUACAUUGAAUGGUCACGGUCAUCUGCUCAUGGAGAAGCCUCAGGACUUUGAUGACUUUUCUGGACAUCCAAAUUUGGCCUUACUUUCCACAAGGCUUCACAUCUGAUGGAGUCAAAGGUGUUAGUAAGGUCAGUGAAGGCUAUAUACAGGUCUUCAUGUUGUGCCUGACACUUUUCUUGGACCUGGUGGGAAACGAAGAUCAUGUCGUUUGCUCCAUGGUAUUGUCUGAAACCACACAGAGAUUCCAGCAGGACUCCCUCAGAACGAGGUAUAAGACAAUUUGAGGAGGAUGUGGUUGAGGAUUUUCCCUGCUAUGGAAAGGGAAGUGAUAUCUUGGUAAUUCCCAUGCACAAACUUAUUUCCUUUCUUGAAGAUUAGUCACAAUGUUGGCAUUCAUCAAGUCUCCAUGAAUCUCUUUGCUGUCCCAAAUUUGAAGAAUAAAUUUGUGGCGUCUCAGAACCAGUUUCUCACCAUCAGCCUUGUAGAUUUCAGCAGGUAUGCCAUCUGGUCUACUAGCCUUGUUGCUAUUGGCUUCCUUGGUGACAUGCUAGAUUUCUUCUAGGAUAUGAGGGUUUGUAAAGGUUCCCCUUUCAGACUGUUGGGGCACAGAUUUAAUAGUGGUAUCUGCCACAUUUGACUGAUGGUUCAGGAGUGCCUCAAAGUGCUCUUUCCAUCUAGCUUGGAAUCUUAGAUUCAUCAUCUUUGAAGAGCAUCAAGCCAUCCUACAAAGGAAGUAAGACUGUGGGAAACUGAGUUAUAGAUGGCUUUUGUUGCCUAGAAAAAUCUAUGCAUGUCAUGUUUGUCAGCAUAGAGUUGUAUCUCUUUGGCUUUAUCCUGCCACCACUGAUUUUUUUUAUUUCCUGGACCCUUCUUUGUGCUUUGAGGAGCUGAUAUGUCUCCUUCUUCUGCUGAGAUGAGGUGCUAUAUUGCCAAGCAGAAUAAGCCCUUCUCUUUUGGUUGAGAAGGCUUGGAUCUAGACGUUGCUUUCAUCAAACUAGUCUUGGUGUUGACAGGUGAUAUAGCCACUGGAUUGGAUUCAGCACAGGCCAUAUGGAUGUUGGUUUUAAACCCCUUCCAGCUUUGGAUGCAGGAAUCACCAGGACAAGCACUAGGAUAAUUUCAAAGUUUUAUCUAGGGAGACCGUUGCAGAAUUUGGAGAGAAAAUAAGAAUACAGCUGUCAUGUCACCUUUAGUUAAUCACCUGGCAGAACUCUGUCUUGAGAAACCAGUUAUUGCAAAUGUGAUGCUGAGCUGGAAAACUCGCUUCUACGUCAGCUCCAACCAAUAAAUUGAAAGAUGAGUUUUAUACCUGUGUUACCCAAGUGAUGGCAUGAUUAUAUUAAGCUAAGUGCUUCCUACAGAGUAAGUAUCCAAGGUAAAACUCUUGGAAUGACUACAGUGUCUGAGGUAUACUUGUGUUUCCCAAAGAAGUCUAGUUUUAGUUAUGUACAAUUUACACUGAAUUGCUAACCUGAGACUAGAGCAUUGUGGUUAGAGAAAAAAAAUCCAUUAACUAGGUCUCACACUGUUUAAAUUAUUGUGAAAACUCCAAAUGUUUCAGAGUUCAGCCUAUAAACAUUGCACAAAUUCUAUGGUCAAGAGCACUGACGAGAGGAAAAAGAAUCUUUGAAUUGAUAUGCGAGCUAAAAAUGUUAUCUCUCUUUUAAAGCUUUGGUUGAAAUAAUGUAACAGCGUGGAGUCCUGGAAAAUUUCUAGGGAAAUUAGACUUACUUAAGAAUAAUUACAUGCAUAUUUAGUUUUGGGUUUUGUGCAUGAUUUUCUUAUUUAUAAAUGGCAAAGAUCGACAGACUACCAUCCUGCCAACGUGACUCUGAAUUGAAUUGUCAGUCUUUGAUAAUCAGUUAACUUCUUUACUUUUCCAAGUUCUCUUGUACAAAUUGUUGGGUUAAAUUGAAAUGAGCAGCCCCUAAUUCCAUUGACCAAUGAGCUUGAUUGGAGAUGGGAUCCAUAGUUCCAUAAUGAUAUGAAAAUCACCUGUCACUACUAAUACUGAAGUAGGGAAUUUUGCCUUUAUAAUGAGAUUAUGGUAAGAUUUUGAAGGAACUGAGCAUAGCUGUUUCUUGAAAGCUGUUACUUCCCUUGUUGAAUUCAAUUUUGAUACUGCAAACAGCUUAAUUGUUAUUUUUGUCUUCUAUAGUAUUUCUGUUGUUUUAAGUACUCUGCUGGCUGAUAAAGCAUACGUUUGUAUUAGUUUUCCAAUGUAUAUAUUCACUAAAGGAUACUGAACCUAAGAACAGUGAGAAAUUUA
Molecule: long non-coding RNA, 2397 nt
Organism: Gavialis gangeticus (Gharial)
Lineage: Eukaryota; Metazoa; Chordata; Crocodylia; Gavialidae
Exons: 2
Source: RefSeq, a predicted model, not a curated record